CUCAAGUAAGGCAAGUGGGUUUGGCCCAUCAGCUUCUUGCCCAUCUUCGGAAGCCUAGCAGCCGCCAGUGUCUUAGCUACUGCUUCUGACUCUUACAGUGGCUUCUUCGAAGCAGCCGCUGCAAGAGAAUAAAGCGAAGGAUCCCAAGCGGGACAAACUGUUUGAGCACCGUUAUUGAGAAAUCAAGCGAAUAUAUGUGAAUAUCUUGAUAUGUUUAAAGCAAAUUCAGCUGCUGAGGAAUCCAGAGUUGGCUCUGAGAAACUGUUCUCCAGACCAGUUAGAAUUUCUCUCUGAAGCACCUCUAUAUUUGGAGAUUGAGCAAUCCCUGGGUUUUCUUGACCAUUUAAUGUUGGGAACCCCUGCUUCUCCUGUGAGAAAAAUCCUGCUGGAGAGUGGUCUGGGCGAUGUUCUUGUUGGUUGCGGGGGGUUGAAGUGGGCUCCUCCAGCCUCAGUUUAGUAUUGGACUAUACUCUUGGAGUAUAAUUGUUGAAACUUCAGUUUCAUGGUAACUCUCAUCAUCAAAUCAAACGUUAAAUUUGAUAUGGCAUGCGGUGUCAACAGCCAGUCAUUGCUGGAGAUGGGUACUAAAGAUUUGGAUUUUGUACAACUGAACCAAUUAAGGAAAAGCUGGUGGGAUAUCACUAUAUUCUUUCACACCAUCAGUUCGAGGGAAGGAGGAGCCCUGCAGCCAUAUAAUUGUUCGAGGGUGAGGCAAAGCUAUGUCAGGACG
Molecule: non-coding RNA, 730 nt
Organism: Sesamum indicum (sesame)
Lineage: Eukaryota; Viridiplantae; Streptophyta; Magnoliopsida; Lamiales; Pedaliaceae
Source: RefSeq, a predicted model, not a curated record